This 254-nucleotide ribosomal RNA is filed under the name uncultured bacterium. RNAcentral's name for it is "partial 16S ribosomal RNA". It matches the Rfam family "Bacterial small subunit ribosomal RNA", at positions 524 to 777 of the family's 1533-position model. The record is from RNAcentral.
UACGAAGGGUGCAAACGUUGCUCGGAAUCAUUGGGCGUAAAGCGCACGUAGGCGGCCUGUUAAGUCGGAUGUGAAAUCCCUCGGCUCAACCGAGGACGUGCAUACGAAACUGGCAGGCUCGAGUAUGGAAGAGGGUCGCGGAAUUCCCGGUGUAGAGGUGAAAUUCGUAGAUAUCGGGAGGAACACCAGUGGCGAAGGCGGCGACCUGGGCCAAUACUGACGCUGAGGUGCGAAAGCGUGGGGAGCAAACAGGG